GCGAGGCGGUGUCGUGCGCCGGUCUCGGCCGGGGAGGGCCGCCGCUGCUGCGCUCAGUUCAGCUGGGGCGAGCGUGUUAUACUGCGGACUGCGAGUGUCGACGUGAGAUCGGCGCGUGCGGGCGCUAGUCGUCGACCACGGGUGACGCGGCCGGCCGCAGAGCAGGGCUGACUGGGUGGCGAGCCGGUGUGCUGGCCACCGAACCCUCUACGGUGCGACGGUCAGCGUGCGCCGCUGACCAGCUGAGUCGCCUGCUGCCGCCACCACAAGGCUGGAGUCAGCACCUCGCUCUCUGUCCGCGGCUGGCAUGCCGACUCCUGGCAAGGAGCUGACCCGGGGGCGGUUCUGAUGGGUGCACCAUGCGACUCGGUCGGCCGGCCCGGACCAUGAUCGGCGUCUGGACGGCGCUGCUCCUCAUCCCGGCCGCCACCGGAUUGGACCUGCAGAAUGCGAAGCACCUGACGGCGCUGGUCGGGCAGGGUGUGGUGCUUGACUGCCCUCUGGACUUCCCCGACGGCCAACCCGUGCCCUACGUCAUCGAGUGGAGGA
Molecule: long non-coding RNA, 549 nt
Organism: Pollicipes pollicipes
Lineage: Eukaryota; Metazoa; Arthropoda; Thecostraca; Pollicipedomorpha; Pollicipedidae
Exons: 3
Source: RefSeq, a predicted model, not a curated record